AACAAUUGGAAAUAGGCUAUAAUUUUGAGUGACUGGAUUGGAAUCAACUUACAAAUGUCUCAAAACCUAAGCCUCAGCCAAUUAAUUUUCAUCAACAAUGCACUAUCUUAAGAAGCAUAUGUUUGCACGAAACUUUACAUGGUUAGAGCACAACAAUUUCAGUUCUUGCAAGAUGGGACUUGAGGUGGAUUCCUUCAAAAUAUGAACACAAGCCUAUUGUAUAUCUGAAUGACACAUUUUACUUUCCCA
This 249-nucleotide unclassified non-coding RNA is filed under the name Hevea brasiliensis (rubber tree). Lineage: Eukaryota; Viridiplantae; Streptophyta; Magnoliopsida; Malpighiales; Euphorbiaceae. The record is from RNAcentral.